CGGCGGACGGGUGAGUAACACGUGGACAACCUACCUAUAAGACUGGGAUAACUUCGGGAAACCGGAGCUAAUACCGGAUAAUAUAUUUAACCGCAUGGUUCAAUGGUGAAAGACGGUUUUGCUGUCACUUAUAGAUGGAUCCGCGCCGCAUUAGCUAGUUGGUAAGGUAACGGCUUACCAAGGCAACGAUGCGUAGCCGACCUGAGAGGGUGAUCGGCCACACUGGAACUGAGAUACGGUCCAGACUCCUACGGGAGGCAGCAGCG
RNAcentral lists this ribosomal RNA (266 nucleotides) under uncultured Staphylococcus sp. RNAcentral's name for it is "partial 16S ribosomal RNA". It matches the Rfam family "Bacterial small subunit ribosomal RNA", at positions 96 to 356 of the family's 1533-position model. Lineage: Bacteria; Bacillati; Bacillota; Bacilli; Caryophanales; Staphylococcaceae. The record is from RNAcentral.